UAUUAUAUUUAAUGUUAAUUGAUUACAAGGGUAUUAGUAGUAAGUUCUUGAAACUCAAAGAAUUUGGCGGUGUUUUAGUCUUUUCAGAGGAAUCUGUCCUGUAAUUGAUAGUACACGAUUUGAUUUACUUGAUUUUGUUAUCAGUUUAUAUACCGCCGUCAUAAGAUUAUUUUUGUUUGAGAAAUUAAUUUUCUUAUAUUUAAAUUGGAUGAUAUGUCAGGUCAAGGUGUAGCUUAUAAUUAAGUAGAGAUGGAUUACAAUAAUUAUAAUUAUAUGGAUAAUUGUUUUAAUUUGAUUUGAAGGUGGAUUUGAUUGUAAAUUUAUUUUUAAUUUUUAUUUUGAUUGGAGCUCUAGAAUGUGUACAUAUCGCCCGUCGCUCUCGUUAUUAAGGUGAG
This 395-nucleotide ribosomal RNA is filed under the name Agnotecous albifrons. RNAcentral's name for it is "partial 12S ribosomal RNA". The record is from RNAcentral. Lineage: Eukaryota; Metazoa; Arthropoda; Insecta; Orthoptera; Gryllidae.